Molecule: ribosomal RNA, 2904 nt
Filed under: Klebsiella oxytoca
Lineage: Bacteria; Pseudomonadati; Pseudomonadota; Gammaproteobacteria; Enterobacterales; Enterobacteriaceae
Description: bacterial LSU rRNA
Rfam family: Bacterial large subunit ribosomal RNA
Source: RNAcentral
UUAAGCGACUAAGCGUACACGGUGGAUGCCCUGGCAGUCAGAGGCGAUGAAGGACGUGCUAAUCUGCGAAAAGCGUCGGUAAGGUGAUAUGAACCGUUACAGCCGGCGAUGUCCGAAUGGGGAAACCCAGUGCAAUUCGUUGCACUAUCGUUAACUGAAUACAUAGGUUAACGAGGCGAACCGGGGGAACUGAAACAUCUAAGUACCCCGAGGAAAAGAAAUCAACCGAGAUUCCCCCAGUAGCGGCGAGCGAACGGGGAGCAGCCCGGAGUCUGAAUCAGCUUGUGUGUUAGUGGAAGCGUCUGGAAAGUCGCAGGGUACAGGGUGAUACUCCCGUACACUAAAACACACAGGUUGUGAACUCGAAGAGUAGGGCGGGACACGUGGUAUCCUGUCUGAAUAUGGGGGGACCAUCCUCCAAGGCUAAAUACUCCUGACUGACCGAUAGUGAACCAGUACCGUGAGGGAAAGGCGAAAAGAACCCCGGCGAGGGGAGUGAAAAAGAACCUGAAACCGUGUACGUACAAGCAGUAGGAGCCCACUUGUUGGGUGACUGCGUACCUUUUGUAUAAUGGGUCAGCGACUUAUAUUCUGUAGCAAGGUUAACCGUAUAGGGGAGCCGCAGGGAAACCGAGUCUUAACUGGGCGUUAAGUUGCAGGGUAUAGACCCGAAACCCGGUGAUCUAGCCAUGGGCAGGUUGAAGGUUGGGUAACACUAACUGGAGGACCGAACCGACUAAUGUUGAAAAAUUAGCGGAUGACUUGUGGCUGGGGGUGAAAGGCCAAUCAAACCGGGAGAUAGCUGGUUCUCCCCGAAAGCUAUUUAGGUAGCGCCUCGUGAACUCAUCUUCGGGGGUAGAGCACUGUUUCGGCUAGGGGGUCAUCCCGACUUACCAACCCGAUGCAAACUACGAAUACCGAAGAAUGUUAUCACGGGAGACACACGGCGGGUGCUAACGUCCGUCGUGAAGAGGGAAACAACCCAGACCGCCAGCUAAGGUCCCAAAGUCAUGGUUAAGUGGGAAACGAUGUGGGAAGGCCCAGACAGCCAGGAUGUUGGCUUAGAAGCAGCCAUCAUUUAAAGAAAGCGUAAUAGCUCACUGGUCGAGUCGGCCUGCGCGGAAGAUGUAACGGGGCUAAACCAUGCACCGAAGCUGCGGCAGCGACACUAUGUGUUGUUGGGUAGGGGAGCGUUCUGUAAGCCGUUGAAGGUGGCCUGUGAGGGUUGCUGGAGGUAUCAGAAGUGCGAAUGCUGACAUAAGUAACGAUAAUGCGGGUGAAAAACCCGCACGCCGGAAGACCAAGGGUUCCUGUCCAACGUUAAUCGGGGCAGGGUGAGUCGACCCCUAAGGCGAGGCCGAAAGGCGUAGUCGAUGGGAAACAGGUUAAUAUUCCUGUACUCGGUGUUACUGCGAAGGGGGGACGGAGAAGGCUAUGUUGGCCGGGCGACGGUUGUCCCGGUUUAAGCAUGUAGGCGGAUGUUCCAGGUAAAUCCGGAACGUUACUAACGCUGAGGUGUGAUGACGAGGCACUACGGUGCUGAAGUGACAAAUGCCCUGCUUCCAGGAAAAGCCUCUAAGCAUCAGGUAACAUCAAAUCGUACCCCAAACCGACACAGGUGGUCAGGUAGAGAAUACCAAGGCGCUUGAGAGAACUCGGGUGAAGGAACUAGGCAAAAUGGUGCCGUAACUUCGGGAGAAGGCACGCUGAUGGUAGGUGAAGCGACUUGCUCGUGGAGCUGAAAUCAGUCGAAGAUACCAGCUGGCUGCAACUGUUUAUUAAAAACACAGCACUGUGCAAACACGAAAGUGGACGUAUACGGUGUGACGCCUGCCCGGUGCCGGAAGGUUAAUUGAUGGGGUUAUCCUCGCGGAGAAGCUCUUGAUCGAAGCCCCGGUAAACGGCGGCCGUAACUAUAACGGUCCUAAGGUAGCGAAAUUCCUUGUCGGGUAAGUUCCGACCUGCACGAAUGGCGUAAUGAUGGCCAGGCUGUCUCCACCCGAGACUCAGUGAAAUUGAACUCGCUGUGAAGAUGCAGUGUACCCGCGGCAAGACGGAAAGACCCCGUGAACCUUUACUAUAGCUUGACACUGAACACUGGUCCUUGAUGUGUAGGAUAGGUGGGAGGCUUUGAAGUGUGGACGCCAGUCUGCAUGGAGCCAUCCUUGAAAUACCACCCUUUAAUGGCUGGUGUUCUAACGUGGGCCCGUAAUCCGGGUUGCGGACAGUGUCUGGUGGGUAGUUUGACUGGGGCGGUCUCCUCCUAAAGAGUAACGGAGGAGCACGAAGGUCAGCUAAUCCUGGUCGGACAUCAGGAGGUUAGUGCAAUGGCAUAAGCUGGCUUGACUGCGAGCGUGACGGCGCGAGCAGGUGCGAAAGCAGGUCAUAGUGAUCCGGUGGUUCUGAAUGGAAGGGCCAUCGCUCAACGGAUAAAAGGUACUCCGGGGAUAACAGGCUGAUACCGCCCAAGAGUUCAUAUCGACGGCGGUGUUUGGCACCUCGAUGUCGGCUCAUCACAUCCUGGGGCUGAAGUAGGUCCCAAGGGUAUGGCUGUUCGCCAUUUAAAGUGGUACGCGAGCUGGGUUUAGAACGUCGUGAGACAGUUCGGUCCCUAUCUGCCGUGGGCGCUGGAGAAUUGAGGGGGGCUGCUCCUAGUACGAGAGGACCGGAGUGGACGCAUCACUGGUGUUCGGGUUGUCAUGCCAAUGGCAUUGCCCGGUAGCUAAAUGCGGAAGAGAUAAGUGCUGAAAGCAUCUAAGCACGAAACUUGCCCCGAGAUGAGUUCUCCCUGACCCUUUAAGGGUCCUGAAGGAACGUUGAAGACGACGACGUUGAUAGGCCGGGUGUGUAAGCGCAGCGAUGCGUUGAGCUAACCGGUACUAAUGAACCGUGAGGCUUAACCUU